CCUGGCUCAGGAUGAACGCUAGCUACAGGCUUAACACAUGCAAGUCGAGGGGCAGCAUUGGGAUAGCUUGCUAUCCAGAUGGCGACCGGCGCACGGGUGAGUAACGCGUAUCCAACCUUCCCUAUAGUAGAGAAUAGCCCGGCGAAAGUCGGAUUAAUGCUCUAUGUUGUGUUUUGAGGACAUCUGACGAACACCAAAGGUUCACCGCUAUAGGAUGGGGAUGCGUCUGAUUAGCUUGUUGGUGGGGUAACGGCCCACCAAGGCGACGAUCAGUAGGGGUUCUGAGAGGAAGGUCCCCCACAUUGGUACUGAGACACGGACCAAACUCCUACGGGAGGCAGCAGUGAGGAAUAUUGGUCAAUGGGCGAGAGCCUGAACCAGCCAAGUAGCGUGCAGGAACCGACUGCCCUAUGGGCUGUAAACUGCUUUUAUCAGGGAAUAAAGUGCGGCACGUGUGCCGUUUUGUAUGUACCUGAUGAAUAAGGACCGGCUAAUUCCGUGCCAGCCGCAGC
This 512-nucleotide ribosomal RNA is filed under the name uncultured bacterium. Its description in RNAcentral is "bacterial SSU rRNA". It matches the Rfam family "Bacterial small subunit ribosomal RNA", at positions 18 to 518 of the family's 1533-position model. The record is from RNAcentral.